Long non-coding RNA from Pezoporus occidentalis (night parrot), 2523 nucleotides. RefSeq lists it as uncharacterized. The transcript has 3 exons. NCBI's taxonomy places the organism in Eukaryota, Metazoa, Chordata, Aves, Psittaciformes, Psittacidae. The record is from RefSeq and is a predicted model, not a curated record.
CGGCGUGGGGACGGUGCUUCCCUUCACCUUUCCUCGGCUGGCCGCGGCGGGACCGAGCCCCGCUGACCCGGGCAGGAGCUUUUGGAAGGAGGGAAGAUAGAAGCCCUGCCCGGAGGUGUGCCCGCAGCGGCGGCCUCCCCGUAGUGCCCGGGGCGGGGGGCAUUGAUCGCCAGCUGCCCUCUAACAAUUCGGUGAGAUUUAUGUAAACGCACCACGUAGUUUGAGAGGAGUUGGCCUGUGCCGCCGUUAAGAGUUGAGGUUUAACACCGUCUGCACCUGUAGCAUGCCUGAUGGCUUAGGAGGUGUAUGGGGACAUGGAUGUACCGAACUUUCCACUUCUGUGGUGUUUUGUGUUGGGUUUUGUAUUUUUAAGCCCCCUUUUCGGUCACAAGGCCGUAGUGGGGUUGGCGGAGCUGGGCCGCGGCCGGUGCUUGCCCUGCCUCCCUGCGGGUGCUCCCAGCGCCUCCCGUCCCCGCCGGGCUGCUGUUGGCCGGACUUAGGAUCACGAAAUACGGGCUGGGUGAAAAAAGAGCUUCAACGGAAUAAAAUGCAACGUUCAGAUUCUUCUCUUCACCCCUCCCCCCCUUUAUCCCCCCCCCCUCCCCGUCCCCGCAUUUAAUUAUAUCCAUACGCUGGCUCUUCAUUUGGGAAGCAUUGGAGCCGUUGCCAUUCCCCUGAAUUUUAAUUCAGUGGCAUUUAAUUCAUUACACUCUGUGAGGGUGUGAUGAUUUUUGCCAGUAGUAAAAACAAAGGGAAAACAGCAAACCAGAAUGUUUUAAGCAUGCUGGUGGGAUGUGAGACCUUAAAGAGCCUCUGCUGUCUUCCCUCCCGCCACUUUUUUUUUGGUACAGUAAUAACAGUGCAUACUGCAAAGAUAAGAUACUGUGUGUGCAGUAUAUCUACUGCCUUGUAUGCUCUUGGGUGUGUGGGAUUGUGCUCCUUAAUACAAAGGAAAAAAAAAAGGUUAAAAAUGAAAUUGUAACUUUCAACAGAUGCAUUUGAGUAUUUAGUCCUCUGUAUGAAAAACAGCAGAAUGCUUCUUUCCUGAUUGUAUUGUUUUAAACUUUUUUUAUAUUACAAAUGCCUGUAUUUAGGUUCAUAAACAUUAUCUAUGGCUACCAUACCCUGAAAUGCAAAAUUAUUUGAAUUUGGUAUGCAUUUAUUUCUGUUCAUUAUCACAAGAUCAUCUAUAUUUAUAGAGGAAUAGAAAUUUAUAUAUAUUAAAUACCAUAUUUUUAAUUUCUCUGAAAUAAAUUGAGGUUUUGUAAAAAACUGUCUUGUCACUUUACGUAUUCCUCUGACUAACUCACAUCCUCUGUGAAAUCAGUGUAUAUAUUACAGGAUGUGUGGGAUUCCUUUUUUCUUAUGUUGAGUUCACAGUAACAAGCUGGAAUUCAGUGUAGGAAUUCAUUGUGCAUUUGGGUUUUUAUCUCUGGGCCGGUCUAGAUUAAUCCUUCAAAAGAAGUAAUGUAAACUGUUCAAGAUCUCUGACAGGGUAUGGUCAGUGGUGUGAAAUCCAAGAAGAGAUCUGCUAUAUGGCAGAAGAAAGAAGCUUGCCAGUUCUUUUUCUUUUUUUAUCUUUUUGUUAAAGAAAAGGGUUCUCCCAACUUAGCCUUUCUUCUCGCGUUCAUGUUAAAAUGAAAUAAAAAAAGGAUUUACUUGCUGCUCAAAAUGACACUUAGACUAUGUUGUAAUAUUGUCAGAGUAUUUUAAUGAGUAAAAUAGUUUGGUUUCUCUGAAUUUGGAAUGUUUGGUUAAUCCAGAGUUAAAUGGUAUGUUCAUGGAAACAUUUCAGCUUUAUGGGAAGUACACACAUUCUUAAAGCUUUCAGCACAACAUGUCUUUUCUUUUUUUUUUUUUUCUCCUCCUUUUUAUUUUUCUUCCCCCUGAUGCAUUGUUUCAAGUGCCAUUCUGCAAGCAUGGCUUUGUUGGGAAAGACUGGCUAAUUAUGAGGCUUGAUUUCUGUUUUCUAGUGUUACAGGCUAAUGCAGUGUUUCACUCUAGAUCUAGAGGGAGAUGUAAAUGUUUUUGGCUCAUUUACUUUUUUCAAAUCGUGAUGCAUAAACAGCCACAGAAAAAUGAGGGAAGGUCAACAAAAUUAAUGAGUGCUACAUGGCCUCAGAAGGAGCUUGGGCUUCCAAAACUCAUGACAGCUGAAGAGGUGACAGGUAAGUGCGGGAACGAGGCUGCAGAAGCAGACUGCUGGAUUUCUGUAACCAAGCUUGCUAAGGACAGCUCAAACAUCUGCCGGGAAAGGGUGAGCAUCGGCAGCCUUGCUUUGGAGCUGAGAGCUGGACCAGACCACCUCUCCCUGUCCCUUGUUGUACUGCAGUAGUGAGACUCCAGCGAUCACACCUAUGCUUGCAAGUAGGAUAAUUCAAUUGAUGCUGCUCCCUGAAAUUCCCAUGUCCACUUCUGCAUUCCUCACUUCAUCCCUAACCUUAGAAUGCCUGCUGUAAUUAACUGCCUGCCAAUGACAUAUUUUGCGUUAGAAAAGGCACUCUUGAUAGUGAGAAAAGUGGU